Molecule: RNA transcript, 4791 nt
Organism: Eriocheir sinensis (Chinese mitten crab)
Lineage: Eukaryota; Metazoa; Arthropoda; Malacostraca; Decapoda; Varunidae
Exons: 4
Source: RefSeq, a predicted model, not a curated record
UGUGUGGAAGGGCAAAGUAACAUUUCCAUCCCUUGAUGCCUCACUCCGCACUGAUGAUGACUUCAAAAGCUUGGCUGAUGAAGAACAUCAUUAUGCUAGAUCACCUUUAAUAGAGCUUGGAAUUGGGAUGGUUAGUCAGUUUCCUUAUGAUUAUAUGCACCUUGUGUGCUUAGGAGUGACAAGAAAACUUAUUGGGCUGUGGAUUAGAGGACCUGUGGGUAAGAACUGUAGAGUUGGAAGUAAUGUAAUACAAAGAAUAUCAGAUGACUUACUAAAGUACUGGAAAUUUCUGCCUUCAGAAUUUCCCAGAAAAUGCAGAUCACUUGCAGAGGUAGACAGAUGGAAAGCAACUGAAUACCGGCAGUUUCUGCUAUACAGUGGACCAAUUGCAUUAAAAGACAAAUUGGCUGAUGAUAAAUAUCAAAACUUUUUAGAUCUUUUUGUUGGCAUUUACUGUCUUGCAAGUCCAUUCUAUUACACUACACAUUGCCAAUAUGCCCAUGAAUUAUUGUGUACCUUUGUGCAAGACUUUGGCAGGAUAUAUGGUUCAGAUAUGUUAGUUUAUAAUGUUCAUGGGCUGUCACAUUUAGCUGGUGAUGUUGCAAAUUUUGGUCCAUUGGAUAGGUUCUCAGCCUUUCCAUUUGAAAAUUUCCUUGGAAAGUUGAAAGCCAAGCUGCGGAAACCCAACUUUCCCGUCCAACAAGUGAUCUGUAGACUUCAUGAGGAAAUGAAUGCUCUUUUGUCAACAGAACCCAAAAAGCAUGUAGAUGUAGAGGUACCCAAGCACAUGCAUAAUAAUGGACCAUUGCCAGGAUCUGAUGAUAAUUUUUCUCAGUUCAAGAAGGUCACUUACAAGAAACUCCAGUUCUCAAUAGAUUCUGGAGAUAACUGUGUGAAGGUUGGGUCAAAUAUAGGUCUGAUAAAGAACAUUUUGGUUAGAAAGGAUGGAGGUGAAGUGAUGGUACUCUUUGAAUCUUUUAGUAAUAUAUCCACCUUCUUUACAAGCCCACUAAGUUCAUCAGAUUUGGGUGUUUACAAGGUAUCACAUCUUAGAGGAAGGCUUGAUAUUAUUCCACUGUCAGAAAUAAUGUGCAAAUAUGUAAUGCUGCCUUAUAAGAAUGAUUUCUUUGUUGUAAUUCCAGUGAUUCACCAGUUUAAUAGACCAUGAGUGAUGCAGAAGUUGGGGCUAUGGUACUGGAUGUGUUAGUGUCUGCUUUUUUCUUUAUUUACUUAGGGUUGCAUUUUGCUUUAAAGACACUUUCGUGGUUUUGUCUUGUUUUUUCCAACAGAUGGGUGAAAUAUUUGUUUUGGUGGAAUUCCUUAAGACAAAUGAUGUGGCUGUAAUCCCUUCAUCAUGGCUAGUUAGCAAAGACAAAGCACUGUGGCCUCCAUACCUUUCCUCAACACGAAUAAACAAUGCUGUCCGCAACAGAGAUUCACCAUGUACAGAAUGGACGAAGUAUUCUGUUAAAAUCAUGUAUGAAUCAGGUACAGUAUAUAUACAUUUUUUGUUUCACAAAGGUUUUGCUAUAUUUUAUUCAGAGAUUGCUAAGAAUAGGAGUAGUUACAGUAACUGGAAUUACAUAAUUCCAGUUAUGUACUUCAUUUUCUGCUACUCUUACUAGCCAUUUCUGGACUCAUUUAAUAUUAUCAGUCAUACUUCACAGAACACUGCGGCAUCCAGUCCACCCACUGUUGGUUCAUCACCUGGGACCUGUGUGUGUCCUUGUCUGUUGUGUUCGUCAUCUGGGAUGUCUGUGGUUGUUUGUGUCUGUUGUGUCUAAUUGUGCCUUUGUUGUGAGUACCCUGUUGUGUUGUAUUCACUUAUUUCAACACGUAUCUGUGUCUUUUUCACUUCUUUCAUUACAUACUUUUUAGGAAAAUUAGAAAUAAACAAAUUACCUAUGAAUAUAGUAUGUGCUUAAUUCUUUCAUUGUGGCAGAUUUCUCAAAAACUUCAUGAACUAACCUGGUACUAGCAUAAGGCAAGUAAAAGGAAUGAUCCUGUAUGGUAACCAAUGAUAAUAAAUGAGUAAUAUUUACUAAAUUUAUCCACAGAUACAUAUGAGAGAGCAAGAGCAAAGUUGUCAACCGCUAUGUAUCAUUCUGACCUACUGACGGAGGAUUCUGAGGAUGAUAUCAUUAGCCGUUGUUCAAAAAGGAAGAGGAGGUGGGUGUGUUUCCAUUCUUUUUUUCUUCUAUGAAAAAAAAAAAAUCCUGUGAAGAGAGAGGGAGGGAGUGUGUAUAUUUACCUAGUUGGGAUAUGUGGGGAGGAAAGCUGAGCUCAUGCUGUCCUGUCUCUGUAUCUACAUAUGUGUUUGUGUGUGUGUGUGCUUGCAUAUACCUAGUUUACUUGUGCUCAUACAUAUACAUGUGAAUGUUCCAGAUUGCGUUUAUUAUAUAUUUCCAUAUCUUUUUCCAGAUCUCCCAGCAGAUACACUGACCAUGAAAGUUCUGAAGAGGACUGCUUUAGUUCAAGGGCUAAGACAAAAGCUUCCAGCAGUAUCAGGGAUGUGGAGGUAAAAUCCAAAGACCAGAUUGCAAGACCAGUUCCACCUAGGCCAUCUGUACCGAGCUGUAUUGUGUCACAGCCACAGCUACCACCACCUGAGAGUCUGGAUGUAAAUGCCCGAGAUGCAAGAAUCUUUAUGGUGUUGGAAGAACUACGUGCUAUACUGCAUUCCCACUCCACCAAGCUGAAUACUCUCCUCAGACACCACAGUGUGCAAGAACAAGAUCAAGCAGUACCAGAGGGCAUUCACUUCCCUGUGAAGGAUAUGAAUGAAAUGGAAGCCCUAGAAAGCAAACUGAUGGAUCCUGACCUAGAGAAGAAAGUUAUUGCAAGUCUGUAUGUAAUAGGUGGAUCAGGUCUUCCAGACACAGUGAGGCGCAUUCUGCGAUACACUGUGAGCAACUCCUUGGCCAUCCACUUCAAUUGGUGUGGCAAAGGAAUGAAACGGAGCUUUUGCACAAUGAAGCUGAAGGAUACAAUAAUUAAAAGUGUCCGCAAGAAUGCAGAGCACAAGAGUGCAACAGCUGCCUCAAUUGAAAAAGUAAUGAAGGAGUGGUUUCGAACAGCCAGAGAUCGAGAUGGAGGCCGUCGGAGGAGAGAUGUAAGAACUUGUGAGAGCAGUGAUACUGCCUAGACUUUCUGGCAUUGCAUAUUCAAAGUUCUCUCUCUCUUGCUCUCUCUUUGUGCAUUAAUGCAUCAUAAAAUACUCAGUUUACUGGUACCAUUCCAGGCUUUCAUGCCACAGUGACACCACACAUUCCAGUCUCCCUCCAUGUAUCCUGAAGCUCUCAUCCCACUUCUCCAUUCACCUUAACAUGCACCUGUAUCCCUUUGAUGUGCUUUCACACCUCUUAAUGAUCUACCUGCUCCAUAUGCACACCUCCCGUCACAUUCCACAUAGCCCACAGUCAGUCCUGUUAGAUGCAUUUUCCUCAUUUAUAAAUGCCUGUACCUUAAUUUCAUUCUUUUGGCUGUAAUGUUUCAUCUGUACAUUAGUAGUUAAUUGAAAUGUUGUGGACAGCAUUGCUGUAAUGGAAGCCACUUUUAUUUUAUUUUAUUUUUUUUUAUUUUAUUUUUUUUUUUUCUGUAGGAUGUAGGGAUAGGAUUAUUAUGAUAUUAAUUAUGUAAAUACUCAGUUUAGGAAUAGAGCUCAGGAUAGCUAAUGGUAAUUUUGUACUUAACACUGAUGCAAAGAUUAGGCAUUUGUUAUUGCUUGUUUCAAGGGUGCUCGCAGUGUUUUCAUGUUGCUGACUAAUGAUUAAUACUUGUGGUGCUGAGAAUUAUAUUGGUGAAAGAAUACUAAUUGUUCAGUUCUUAAAGAAAUCUUUUUUUGUAGCUACACACAAUGUAUUACCAAAGUGUGUGUGUGUGUGUGUGUGUGUGUUUUAGCUGUUCAGUAUUAAAUUGUUUUAAGUUCUCUGACAGUUGAUUCAUAAACUAUACUUUAAACAGAGUUAAUCAUUGGUAAGAUUUAAAGUAAAGAUGUGAAAGACUAUAUCCUCAGGCUGAAAAUAGUAAAUACAUAAGUAAUAUCAGGUGCUAUCACUAAGGCAUAAAGAGUAAGAAUGUGUACCAUCAUAUUGUUGUAGUUGUAAGGAAUGAUGACAAGGGCCAGGAAUCCCUCCCCUUAUUAUUAUUAUUUUUAUUAUUAUUAUUUUUUUUUUAACAAAAAAUAUUGAUUGAUUUACUUUUUAGGAGAAUUAUCUUAUUUCAUUUUCCACUGUCUUGCUUGGAAAUUACCUUGCUGAACAGGAUAAAUUAAGUUCCUUGAAAAGUCUUAAAUGUUGUGAUUUUAGAUUAUUUUUCUUUAGUUUCUAAGGUAAAAUUACAGCUAUACAACUGUUAAAUCUGGUAAUGAUAAAGUAUAAGUGUCUUCUCUUGCUUACUAAUGGCAUCAACCCAAUUGUAAACCCUAUUGUGAUAGCUGAAGAUCUUGUCAAAAUAAACUUAAGUCCACUGAAUGUAUCUUUCAUUUAUUCAUCAGGUGUAUUCAUGUAAAAUACAUUGGAUUACUAUAUAUAAAUGGGCGGUUAAUGGCAGGCAUAACUAUGUAGGCCCGCUGUUAGCGGGCCGACGUAGAACCUAUGAGCACGGGUGACGGCGGCCCCACGUAAUCUGCCACUGUAGGGCCGCCGGUACAACAUACGUUUAGCCUACGGAGGGCCGCCGUCUUCUGGCUUGCUGGGAAAUUCCUUCAAGAAUUUUAAUGUUUAUUUUUAUGAGAGAGAGAGAGAGAGAGAGAGAGAGAGAGAGAGAGAGAGAGAGAGAGAGAGAGAGAGA